UAUUACACAAAGUAUAUGGUAUUUGAGUUCGAUAUUUGUGAUCCUUUUAUUAUUAACAACAUAUAAAUUGGCAGCCACUUUUAUCAUCAGCAUCAUCGUCUGGGCAAUCGCAAGCGAAACACACUGCUUUCGUAAAAAAUCCUAAUUUUCCCUUACCACCACCUUUUUUUUUUGGAGUUUUGGUUGUUCAACUCAACUGUGUUAUGAACUUCAUUUGCUGCAUCAAAAUUCAUGUUGAGUGCUCUAUUAUUAGAUAAUAACGAAGAAUAUAAAAUAUGUUCAAAAAAUAAAAUAUAGCAAAUAAAUAUAUACUAGCCUUCUCUUCUCCCUUGUUUAAGUUCUAAUGUAAAUUAUUAUUUUAUUUUCUUCUAUUGUAAAAAUUAAAAUCCCACCCUUUUCAUAUGGGAUCAGUUAUUAUAUUUACUUACACCAGGCAAAUUCUAGAAUCAAAUUUACCCAUCUAUUAUACGAGAUAUCUUAAUUUUACGGCGAAUUAAUUUUAUCAAAUCGUCUCGUGUUUGAUUUUUAUUUGAAGAGCCUUAACAUCGAUUAUAUGAGAUGAGUUUCACAUGGUACAAUACUUGGAGAAAAAUAUUUAAAUUUAUCCGUCUACUUUUAAUUAUGGUAAAAGUUAUUAUAUUAUUUAUAUAUUGGAUUAGGGUUUCAUUAGCGUCAAGGAUAAUGAGAGACAAUUUACUAAAUUAUUUUAUAUAUAACAAACAGUAAAUUAAAAUAUUUCGUAAAGUAAAUGUUUUUUAAAACCAUUUUCCGUUAAAAUCGCACUUAAUCAAUUAAUUUUUUCAUAUAAAAAUAGUAACUAUAUAUUACUUAAAAGUACAAUUAAAAACUUACUCACUGGGAGUACAGGAUCAGCAAUAACCUCGGAAGAUAUUAUCAAAAGAAUCAAAGAAAAUACAAGCAAAACAUUAACCUUGAAUGCCAUUUUGAAGGAAUAAAAAAAAAACUUUGUCGAUAUUUAACUUAUGGUAUGGAUGAUCAAACAAUAUUUUUUGCUCUCCUAUUUAUAGACAGUCUAGAAAGAUUUGGCUUAAUACCAAACUUUUUUUUAAAAAAAAGUUUAACUUCAGAUGAUGAAUUUCCUUAUACUUAGAUGCCAACUCUUUAAAUUUGUUAAUUUUUUUUUCCUAUUCUUUGAACAAUAUAUACUAUACCAUCGAUCUCUCUAAGAAAAAAAAAGUUAUUCUUUCAUAUCAAAUACACCCUAAGUGUAAAAUGUUUAAAAUCAUGCUCGAUGUUGUCACUCGUCAAUGCUAAUAUUUUAAAUAAGAGAGUAGAUGUUUUUUAUUGUACGUAAAAAUUUUAGUGUGACUACUCGAGCUAAGCUAAGGUUAUAGAUGAAGCGGGAAGAGUGAGAUGAGCUUUUGGUUAUGUGAAAUAGUUAGGAAUGAGAUACGUGGUGAAAAAUCUUUGUGAAAGUGAUUGAGGUUGCUGAUUUUUGGUGAGGAGAUUCGUAAAGUGGGUAACAAAGAUAGACUUGAAUUUUGUGAGUGAUAGAAUACACAAACUAUUGUAUUAUGAGGCUAGUACUCCUUGAUUAUGUUAGACUUGUGAAUGUGAAGAUCGCUUCAGAAUUGUGCAGGAAAACUCUUUGAACAUAGAGAGAGAAAAGAUGAAGAUUGAAUUCAUCGAGAAACUUCCUUAUGUGCCAGCGGUCUCUUUUCCUAUCAGCUAUAUAGAAAAAUAUCUAAUCACAUAUUUACAACUUUGGAAAUAAAACUACAAUGUAAAAUACAGAAGUGGGCUUGGGUACAGCUUGCCAGAUGGGCUUGCUAGGCUAAAUAGGCCUGUGGUUAUUUUGUCAUUCUUGGGCCCUAACACCCCCCCCUCUUGAGGGUGUACAAACACCAAGCUUGUAAAGGAAAUGAUGAUACAGCUGACCAGGAAGAGGCUUCGUCACGAUGUCUGCAAGUUUUUCAGUCGAAUGCUUGUAUUGUAAAGAGAUGAGGCCUGCAGAGAGACAAUCACGUACAUAAUGACAGUCCACAUCAAUGUGUUUCGUGCGCUCAUGAAACAUCGGGUUCUUGGAAAUGUGGAGUACAACCUGACUGUCACAAUAAAGAGGAACAUGAUGAGUAAUAGGUAAGCCAAUAUCACUGAGAAUUCGAACCAACUAAGAGAUUUCAGCAACAACUUUUCGCAAUGCACGAUAUUCAGCCUCCGCAGAUGAAAGUGAAAUGGUAGGCUGCUUUUUUCUUUUCCAAAAAAUGGGACACCCCCCAAGUGUGAUAACAAAACCAGAAAUAGAUUUCCUUGAGGCGGCACAACCGGCUAGUCAGAAUCAGAGUAAGCACACAGAGAAAAAUCAGCAGUCUUAGAGAGGAGAAUGCCUUGUGCAGGUGCAUUAAGGAGAUAACGAAGAACAUGUAACCCAGCAAGCAUAUGAGGAGACUGUGGAUUUUGCAACAACUGACUUAAGUGUUGAACAAAAAAUGCAAUGUCAGGGCGAGUAUGUUGCAAUAAAUUAAGCUUGCCAAUUAGACGCCUGUAACGACUAAGAUCAGGAAGCGGGUGACCCAUAUCAAGGAUGAGUUUGAUCGAUGAAUCCAAAAGAGUGAGUACAGGAGAGAAAUGACCAGCAUUAAACUCAGCUAGAUGGUCAGAUGUAAACUUGUGUUGAUUAAUGAGAAAUCCCUUGGAAUGAGAAGAUACUUCAAGACCCAAAAAAUAAUGGAUAGUGCCCAAGUCCUUAAUGUGGAACUGAUAAUCCAAGAAGGAUUUAAGAGAAUUCAUUUCAGGAAUAUUAUCACCGACCAAUAAUAUGUCAUCAACGUACACCACUAGAAUCACAAGAGAACCAGAAACAUGUUUGGUGAAGAGUGAAUAAUCAUUCUUACUAGAAAUGUAGCCUUUGGAUAACAAAGCUUCAGAUAAUUUUGAAAACCAUUGUCUAGAAGCUUGUCGAAGGCCAUAAAGUGACUUUCUCAACCUGUAAACCAGAGGAGAAGACGAGAGAGAAGUGACAGUGACUUCAAUACCAAGAGGGAUUUUCAUAUUAACCUCCUCAUGAAGAUCACUAUGGAGGAAAGCAUUGUUAACAUCCAGCUGAAAAACAGUCCAGCCCCUCUUGACAGCAAGGGAUAAUAAGCAUUUGACAGUGGUAAGUUUAAUAACUGGAGAAAAAGUCUUAUUGAAGUCAAUCCCCUCCUUUUGAGAGUCACCUCUAAUAACCAACCGAGCUUUAUACCUUUCCACAGAACCAUCAGCCUUGUAUUUGAUCUUGUAGACCCAUUUACAAGGGAUAGAUUUCUUGUGAGGGGGAAGGGGAACAAUGUUCCAAGAAUGGUUGGCAGCAAGUGCAUUGAAUUCCUUUAGCAUGGCCUCUUGCCAAGCAGGAGUAGUAAUUGUCUGCUGGUAGUGUUGAGGUUCAUGAAACUGAGGGACUGCAACAGAGAUCUUAGAAGAGAAAGAAGCUGAGGAACAAAUAAAGUCAAAAAGGUAAGCAGGAGAAGUGGUAAUCCUGGAAGAUUUCCCAGUGGUCACAGGGAGAGCAGAAGGAACAAGUGUGCAAGAUGAGAAAGAAGGAGCAUGGGUAGAUAUAGGGAUAGAAGAAAUAGAAGGAGAAGAAGGAAGGUCAACAAAAAUAGGAUCAGGAGGGGGAAAGAGAGAUGGAGAAGAAGAUUUAUAUGGGAAAAUGUGUUCAUGGAAAGUCACAUCUCUAGAAAAAAAUAAAGAAAUUAGAAAGGGAAAGUAGUUUAUAUCCUUUCUUGCCACAAGAAUAACCAAGAAAAACACAUGAAAUAGACCUAGGUUGAAACUUGUCUCUACCAACUUUAGGAGACUAUGCAAAACAAAGACAACCAAAUGACCUAAGAUGAUCAUAAGAAGGGGGUGAGCCAUGUAAUUUUUCGUAAGGUGAUACAUUUGUCAGAACAUUUGAGGGCAUUCUAUUAAUUAAAUAGAUGAUAGUUAGCACACAAUCGCCCCAGUAUUUUAAAGGGAAAUUGGAUUGGAAAAGAAGGGCUCUAGACACUUCUAGGAGAUAUUUGUGUUUUCUUUUCACAACUUCAUUCUGUUGAGGAGUGUGAGGGGUAGUGGUUUGAUGAAUAAUUCCAUGUUCAGCAAAAAAGGAUAAAACAGUUGCACUACUACCCAAUUCAAAAGCAUUGUCAGACCUAAAAGUUUGAACAGAAGAAUGAAAUUGGGUAUGUACCAUGGCAGUAAAAGCCUUAAGGAUAGGAAAAACAUUGCUUUUACAAGAAAGAAGAUGAUUCCAAGUUACUUUAGUGAAAUCAUCCACAAGAGUAAGAAAAUAUCUAAACCCAUUAUAUGUUUGAGUGUUGUAAGGGCCCCAAAUAUCAAUGUGAACAAGUUGAAAUGAAGUAGUAGAAUGAAUGACAGAAUUAGGAAAGGACAAUAUUUGUUGUCUGGCUAUGGGACAGAUAUUACAAAUAAAAAAUUACGUAUGAGAUACUUUGUCAGACAAAUAAGGAAUAGAAUGCAUUUUGUGAAAAGGCAUAUGCCCCAUUCUUUGAUGCCAAAACAGAUCUAUUUUAUUUAUGUCAGAACUGAGAUUACAAACAGGAAGAACAUUACAAGAAAUAUUGCAAGGAAUAUUAGUACUAGAAGAGGAAUGUAAGCAAGAAGUAGUAGUAGUGGAAUCUGAUGACUGUGGAAUAGUAGUAGGUGAUGAUUUUGUAGAAGCAGGGGAGAAAAGUUCAUCAUCCAGAUGUAGAUAAAAUAGCCUGCCUGCAGCCUUACCAAUUACCAGAGGCCUCUUCAGUGAAGGGCCCUGUAAAUAGCAAUGAGACUUGGUCAGUAAAAUAUUACAAUUUAAUUGAGAUAUAAGCUGGUGAGUAGAAAUUAAGUUGAAUUGAAAAGAAGGGACUAGAAGGACAUAAGAAAGUGUGAUAUCAGGUCUUAAAAUCAAGGAACCAGUGGAAAAAACUUUUACUUUGUAUUCGUUGGGAAGAGUAACUAGGAAAGGUCUAGGGAGAGGGGAAAUGUUGUGCAGAAAAUGUUUGUUUGGUGUCAUGUGAUUUAUGGCUCCAGAGUCUAAGAUCCAUGGAUGUAAACCAACUGAAGCAGAUUCAUAUGCAUGAGAAUUCAAGGAACUAGCAGCAUAAACAGUAAACAAACCCGCAAAGUGUGCAAAACCAGUGAAAUCUGGAGAAAACUCUUCUGAAUUUGGAAAAACACUGUUACAGAAGGGAGCUACUAUACAUUACUAGUGAAAAAGAGUUUGCAGAUGUUGAUACUGCUCUUUGCUGAACCCAUGUGAAUACCCAUCAGUAGUGGAAGUGGAAGAACUGGGCAGAGAUGGAGAAUCAGGCAAAUUAGCAUUAGUUUGGACACAUAAGACAGUUUUCUUGUUCUUUGUGAACUUGAAAUCUGAGGAAAAACCAAUGAGCCUAUAGCAUUUUUCCACUGUAUGCCCAGGUUUCUUACAAUAAGUGCAAAAUAAUGAGGCAGUAUUAGCUGGUGAUGGAAACUAAGGCUUCUUGGAAUCAAAAUUGAUCUUUUGAGAAUAGCCUCUAUUGUUCUGGGGAUAUGUACUUUUAUUACUCUUACUGGAGAAGUUUGAUUGGUAAUAGGUUCUAUUGGUAUUAGGGUAUGAUGAGGUUAGACAGGCAGCUGAGUCUCUAGAAAAUGUAUUAGUAGAGGAGUAAUUCUUUUUCUGACUUUCAUCUUGUAAUAACAAAGAAUAAACCUUGCUAACAGAAGGAAGAGGAGACAUCAUCAAAAUACUACUCUUAAGUGUGGAGAAAGAAUCAUUCAACCCAUUUAGAAAUUGAAAAAGUUAUUGGUACUCUAUGAAUUUAGACAAGGCUCCACAAGUACAGUUGGGAACAACAUAAGAAGAAUUGAGUUCAUCCCAUAGACUCCUAAACCUAGUGUAAUAAGAGGCAAUGCUAGAAGACCCUUGAGUGGUGGAAUGGAUUUCCAUUUGGAGCUGAAUGUAUCUUGAACUAUUUGACUGUCCAAACCUGACAUUCAGAUCCUCCCAUAUUUCCUUGGCAGUUUUGAGAGAUAUGACACUUAUUGCUAUGUCUCUUGAUGCAGAAUAAAGUAUCCAUGCUUUUACCAUGUCAUUACACCGUUUUCAAUAGGGUAAAUAUGGUGAUUCACUAGUCGGAGAAGGUGUCCUGCCAUCUAGAAUACUCAUCUUGUUUUUAGCUGAUAGAGAAGUCAUCAUGCUACUUCUCCAGAUAGUGAAACCAGAACCAGAGAAGGGAACAACCACUAUUUGGCUACCAGGACUAUCCGAAGGGUGAACAUAGAAAGGAUGAGAGGUUUCGAGUGAAAAAGGUGUAAAACCUUGAGUCGUUUCUGAACUCAUUUUCUACGACUUACACUAGGGUAUACACAGUCAAAAUACUACUGCAAUACAACCUAAAUCAGCACAAUACAGCUAAAAUCACCACAAUACAGCUCAAAUCACACAAUAUAGCUAAAAUCACCACAAUAAUGUCGAAAUACGAUAACCACAGUACAACUAAAAUCACCACAACAAUACCGAAAUACAGCUCAAAACAUAAUAAAAACUAUAAAAUAGCCCAGAUCAAACAGUGAAUCGGAGAGCUAUUGGCAACCACAACGAGAUCGUCGAAAUGAUGCUUAUCAAAUUGAUAACGAAGGCUGAGAUAUGAGAGAAGGGAACAAAUUUACCAGAAAGGACUUCAUACAAUUGAACAAAACAGCUGAAAACCUUCAAAACCUCCGAAACCACGAGCAAAGCCAAAAUCUCCAAACCAACACGGCAAAUCGAGAAACUUUUAAAACCAAAACAAGGGUACCAUCGAAAGAAAGCUUAGAAUGAGAGGAAUUAUUUGUUGAGCUUUGAUACCAUGUUAGACUUGUGAAUAUGAAGAUCGCUUGAGAAUUGUGCAGGAAAACUCUUUGAACAUAGAGGGAGAAAAUAUGGAGAUUGAAUUCAUCGAGAAACUUCCUUAUGUGCCAGCUGUCUCUUUUCCUAUCAGCUAUAUAGAAAAAUAUCUAAUCACAUAUUUACAACUUUGGAAAUAAAACUACAAUGUAAAAUACAGAAGUGGGCUCGGGUACAGCUUGCCAGAUGGGCUUGCUAGGCUAAAUAGGACUGUAGUUAUUUUGUCAUGCUUGGGCCCUAACAGCUUAAGCCUGGAUUAUUUGAUUACAGUGAUAAGAUGGGGUACUAUUAUAUUCUUGGAUGGAUGUAGAGUGUAGAGCUCUGCAACUUAGGUUAGCAUCUUUUAACUCUGGGUUAGGCUUUAAUAUGGAAGCAAUGUAUAGUUGGACUCAAGAUAUUAUAAUUAUGCAUUUUGCGGAGGAAUUAUAAGAUUAAAUGAUGAAGUGUGGUAUUCAAAACUGAAUUUGUAAUUGAGAAGUAUUGCUAUAUUUAAGAAUUAUAUACGUAUCAUUGGAGCGGAGGUGGAGAAUGCUUCUAUUCUUAUGCCCCGCUAAAUCUUAUUUCGUGUCAUGUAUCAAUCUUAAUCAAGCCGAGGAUUCCUGAAUAAAUUCAUGUCUUACGUUGUAAUGGUAAUGUUUCAUAGAACUCAUGCCCAAGAUCAUGUCUAUAUCAAGUCUCUCAUUAUCACAUGAUUCGUGCUUACACAAUUUACUUGGUGAUGCCAUGAAGCUCUCUUUUAUUUUGAUGCCUAUAUAUGUUUUGUUGAGGGAAAGUUUUUAUCCAUCAUUCGAGGAUGAAUGAUUCCAAGGGAAAGAUAAUGUAAUACCCUAUAUUUUCAGGCUAGAAUUCGAACCGUCAUUCCUAUGUGUGUAAAUCUGAACGCCAUAAUUUCUAUGUAAAUAUGAGUGUCAUGAUCAUUUACCUAGUAAGUUAAGUGCUUUCGAGGUGAAAAAUGAUCAUCGAAAAUACUUAGAGCAAACUUUUAUUAUUGAUUGAAUUUUGAUAUUCGAUCCACAAGGAUCGACUUUAAACGUGUAUAACUUAUGGAAUAUAUGAAAUUUCUGAGUUAAAGAACCACCAAAUGAAAUAUAAUUAAGUCAUAUUUCCAACACAUCCGAUUUCACCUUAAUUCAAUAUUCGAUCGAAAAGAUAUGAUCAUUUUUCACGAGCGAAUUAACCAGUGAGGGUCUAAGAUAAGGGCUUGGCACCCCCUCUGUGCUCCAUGAUAAGAGCGUGGCAUGCCAUGUAUGCUCCAAAUUAAGGGUGUGGCACACCCAUGUUUUCAGAGAUGCCAAAACUCACGUUCCUUAUUAAUUUUUCAAGGGUAAACUAGCCAUUUACGCUCCAAAUCAUCCAAUAACUAAUAUCAACGUGAUUUGCCUCCUCCAAUAACUCAUCAAAUACACAAUUCAUCUCCUCCCAAAAUUCUCAUAAACACCAAUUAAGGGUUCUUCACCAAAAUUCAAGCUCCCAAAACCUCAAAUUUAAGCUCUUAUCAAUGUUUUCUCACCAAUUCCAUCAUCGAGGGUAUGAAAAACAAAUUCAAGUGUUCAUAUCGAUUUCAAGCUAGGGUUCAAGUUCAAAGUUAAGGAUUCAAGCUUUCUUCCGACUUUCUUCAUUCAAAAAGGCAUGUUGGACACUCCCUAAUUUAAAUAUUAUACUAUUGCAUUAAUUCAGUUGUUAUUUAAAUGUUCUUGAAUGAUUGAUUUAAACUAGGGUUUGAGAAUUGUCAUCUCUAAUAUGAAAUAUUAUUUUUUCUCUUUGUCAUAGAAAAAAAAUGUCCAAAUUGGUAGUUAAUGAUAUGGGUGGGUUAGUUAUUAAAAAAAAAGAGAUAGGUGAUCUCUUUAUAAGUCUUGGGCAAUUCUUCUGUCUUUGAUUUAGCUUUUGGGGUGUGAGUUACGCCAAAGACCUAAUUUUAUAUCAGAGCAGGGUCCAUCUUACAUAAUGUUGGAUUCCCGAAUUAAAAAUUAUUCAUUCACCAGAUAUUCAGUCCGGGGUGUUAGAGAAAAGAGAAAAAGUCCCACAUUAGUGGUUAAUGAGAUGGAUAGUCUCUUUAUAAGUUUUGGGCAAUUCUCCUCCCUUUGAGCUAGCUUUUAUGGUGUGAGUUAGGCUCAAGACCUAAUUUUACAUCUUCUUAUAAGUUGUUUAUAGCCACUUGUGGAUUUUUGAAUUUUUCAAUAACAUGUUUGAAAUUAUAUAGACAAAGAAACAUUGAAUGUUAAGCAUGAUUGAAACCACGAUUUUCAAGUCCUUUGAAAAAACUUUAAAUUGAGAUAAUGAACAAAUAUGAGACCCUAUCUUUUUGAAAUAUUGAAAGUGUUGAACUUUAUGACUGCUUUAGUAUUUUUAUGCAAUUUAAUGAUGAUUAUGAGCAUGAUUUUGAUGAUGGGGUUAAGAAGUCGUUAAUGUUUUAUGGUAAUGUUUUCUUGGCAUGAUAUGAAUGGAUUGCAAGUGUUGGUAUGACAAUACCAAUAUGACUAUGCCUACUGAAUGACUCCAUGAGUAAUGUUAUGUGCAAACUAUUUUAAUUAGGUUCUAAAGAAAAGUUAUAUAGCUCACUGUGAAGGCGUAAUUCUUCGUGACCAAUGCCGGAAACCUGUAUUUAUCGGCAUAGAAAUGACGUACCUUAAUUGGAUGGCCAAAUUGUGUCCUUAAUAUGAGGAUAAUAUAUAUGGUGGGUUUAGUCUAUUUUUGAGUUUAGCCUAACCUCGGUACAUGUGGCCAACACAGAUUGGGGCCCCACCGAAUGGGAAGUACCGAAUCCAUAUAGCUCAUGGGUACUAUAUGACUCAUGCUACAUAUGGGUUAACAAAUGAUAGUGAAAGCUAUACAGUUCAAGCUUAAAUUUUUAAAUGUUCAUGUAACUCAUCCCUUACCCCUACCCCGAUAUUUUAUUAUAUAUAUAUAUAUAUAUAUAUACUUAUUACUUGAUGUGCAUGUGGUUUAUAAAUGAUUUUGGCAAAGGUAUACUUGUUUUAUCCCUUUCCUUGGGUUGCAUUCCAGUACUCGCCAUACUAACCAUCUCCGUACGCUACAUGAUGUAGGUUUGAGCAGUUAGGUGGUUCGUUAUUCUCUCUUUGGACAACUGGUAUUAUAUAUGUGGUGAGCCCUCCAUCAUCUGAAAGACAAUUAAUUAUUCCUCUUAUGUUUUCAGUCCAUCCUUUUAUGGGUUUUUUCGCAUAGUCGGAAUCAUGCAUCAAUUUAGGAAUUAUUCUUGAAGUUAGAGGCUUCGUAGACGGUGAUGGAUUGUUGUUUUGUAUUUUGUUCACAAGAUUUUGUAUAUUACUUUAUUUCAGAUAUUGGACCUCUUAUCUUAUGGAUCAUUUCCACAACUUUAUUUAUGAGUAUGCUUAUGAUAUAAUGCUAAGGAGUCAUCUCAGACUUUCAUUAAUUUGGGAUAUCCGUCAUGGUCAGGACUCCAAUUCAAAUCGUAUAUAUGUGCGCGAUCAUAAUUUUUUACUAGUGUCCUAUCUAGUUUCUAAUAAGAAGAUGGUAAUGAUUGGUUAUGACAUGAUUGUGCUAGGUUCGAUUAUAUUUUUAGAAGAUCUUCUGAGAUAAUCAAAACGAUAUAAUUAAUUAAAAAACCAAAAUACAAGUGAUCAGAGAGCACCGGGCUAAUUUAUGUUUGCCAAAAGGUAUACUUAGGUCAUGCACGGCCAAUUCGUACUAUUAUUGUCGUUUCUUGUGUUUUCAUUAUCGCACAAUUUUGUGGUUGAUUAUUGUUCGUAUUGUAGAUUUCGCAGUGUUCCUUAUUUUCUUAUUGUAGACACGUAAUUUUACCCCUUCAAAAGAUUAAUUUUCACCUUUUUACCCUAUCCUAUUGUGUACCCUCAACCAUGUAAUUAUACCCCACAAAAAAUAUACAAAAAAUAACACCCCUUAAUAAAUUUCCUAACAAUUUUUAAUUUUUAUUUUAAUUAUCCUAACAACCUAUCCAAUUAAAAGACAACACCUCACCUCACUACCUACCUACGCCACGUCACCCCACCAUCUUAACCCCUUAACAGAAUUGGACAAAUACAUGGACCAGAUAACAAACACAAUCAAAAGAGGGGUCCACGUGUAGAUUCCUUUUUCUUAUUUUCCCUUUUCAAUUGAGAAGAUAUAUACAAGGAGAGGGAACCUUCGAGGAAUUUUCCAUAUAUACUCACAUAUUCACUGAAAUCCUCCAUGGUGAUACACAGGAGAAUAUAGCAGAGUACACACUCCUCACAACCUCACAGCAACACACACCAAAAAGAGACCAUCCAUCAAUACCCACUACAAUUUAUUCACAGACCCACACACAUAAAAAAGACACACACACGUAUAUCGAGACAGAAAAAUAGAGUGAGUGAGGGUGACCGAAGAUCGGAGAGAGAGGAAGAAAGGGGUGAAGAGCUGAAAUCGAUCAAGAAAGAGAGAAAAGGCGUUGGUUUUGACUAUUUCCGGUGAGUUCCUCAUCGGAAAUCGAUUGGGAUCAUCACUGAGAAAGCUCCGACGGUCACUGUAGCUACCAUUCAUUCACCGGAAAAUGUUGAAAACAGACAGGGAGGUCCAACUCUGGCCACCAUGGUCAAAACUCGAUUGGACUAACACCAAAGACCAUCAGAAAAAUCAAAAAACCGAUCCUCCCAUUCCAGUUUUUCGGCGAAGCAGUAGCAGGGUACAAAAUUCAGUGCGGGUUCGCCUUUACUUCAUCAUUUUUGGUUCGGCUAGGAGAAAACCAAAGCAAACACGGAUAUAUCGAGUUGGUUUUUUUGGUAUUGAGGUUCGGUUCGAAGAUUCCGGACAUCGCUCCAUCUUUUAAUCGCGUAAUUUGGCAUAAUAAAAGCAUUUGGAAGGUCCAAUUCUAUCUUCUCUCCUUUUAAGUUUUACUCAAUCAUGAAUAUUCGUGUGUUUGACAUGUUUGAAUCUUUAUUACAUGUUGUUUGAUGUCACAUUUGAAUGUGAAAACUUGGUUGGUCAAUUACAUAUUGAAUUUGAUUAGUUUUAAUGGUGUAAGUGAUAAAAGAAAAUUGGGGGUGGGAAUUGAAAAUUGACAAAAAGGGUAGAUUCAGAUAAAUUUUGAUCUAUGGUUGAUAUGAAACAUGAUAGAAUUAUCAUAUGUUGAAAUGGAUAGGCCAAUGUAGGUUCGGGUUGGCAAAUUUAGGAUUAAGAUUUUGAUUGAAUGUUUGAAUGUGGAAUGUGUUGAAUGUUUUUUUGUUUAUUGCAUCUAAUUCAAAAUGUAUUCAUUUGGCCGGGGAAUGCCCCGAAGUAUUUGUAUAUAUAUUUAUUAACCGGGGAAUGCCCCGACGUACUAUUGGCAAAGGCGGAUCGAGAACAAGGCCCGAGGCGUCGGGUAGCGGGAGCGUAGUUAGUAGUAGUAUAAGUUAGAUAGGAUUUAUCUUAGCAUUUUUCUAUUUUGGAUUGUAUAAAUUGGACUGGACACUAUAUUUUGAUUCAUUUUAUUUUUGUUUGUUUGUUUUACGUGUUUGUGCGGUUUGUACAUUCAUAGUGUCAAAAUUAGUCGAUACGUUCCACCAAGCAACCGUGGUCGAACCACGGGAUCGAGAGUUGACUAACACCUUCCCCUCGGUCAACAUAAUUCCUUAGCCAAAAUCUCUGUUCGCAAAUCAGUUUAAAGAGUCAAAUGAUUUCGAAAAGAAUUUUCCAAUGGUGACUUGGCACACCAGAUUAUGCCAAGUGGCGACUCUGAUUUUGAAUGUAAAAACAAUCCUUUUUCGAAACCAAUCUUCAUUUUGUUACUUUAAUAAAAACCCUUUCAAAACCAUGAAAUAUAAUCUUUUUGAUGAUAAAAAGGGGUGUGACAGCUUUGGCGACUCUGCUGGGGACUAUUUCAGAAUUCAAGCUUUUUUUGGAGUUGUAUCGGCUUUGUUUGGCAUUACGAGUGUAUAAGCAUUGUUUGUGAUUUUUGUUUGUGUUUUUCACUUUUGUGCGUUUUCGUGCUCUUUGUUUACAGUAUUUAUCCUAUGUGUUACCGCUUUUAUAUCUGGCAUCACGUGCAUAACCCGAGUCAUUCUUUCCGCAACAAGUCUCGGAGCGUACAUCGUGCGCACCAACUCUAGUUGAGUCACCUUAUUUUAGGGGGGGAGCCGUUGGACGUAUGGAGUAGGUGGAAAGCAAAGCAGCCACUAUGGACCAUAUGCUCCCUCGAACGGCCUUGUUAGUAAACCGCAACGUAGGUCAGCCUUUAGGUCAUUCUUAUGUGCAUCAUAUUGAGACCUAGCGGGGCCCACAUGGUUCUUUGUAGGAGACUCACUCCUAAAGCAUUCCAACGUGCUAAAUGCUGCAUCUUUGAGGAUAACGUGGUCAUUUGACAGACGGAUAUGGGGUAAAGCAUGUGUUAGAAGUAAAGUGUGUGACAAAAAAAAAAGUUCAAAAAAGAGUUUUGUAGUUUUUAAAGUUCUUUAUGGUUUUUGUUUUUCACAAUUCAAAAAUUUCAAAAAAAGAUUUUUUUUACAAUAGCAGUUUUUAUAAAGGAAAAUGCAAAAAAAAAAUGGUAGAAGUUUUGUACAUUUCCUAUAACGAAAAUAUCAAAAAAAAAAUUCUUUUAUUCCUUUACCACGCAUUCAUAAUUCAAAAAUUUCAAAAAAAAAAAAAAUUCUUUCAUAGUUGUUGGUGUCAAAUUAAAAACCCAAAAUUUUUUAUUUUUUUUAUUAUUCAUCGGUCUUUGGUUGUGUUUCUUAAGUUAGGGUCAGUCUGUUAGUUAAUCUUUAUUUGUCCUAUUUGGAUGAACUACGCACCCCUGAUUCUCCUCUCUCGGGAGUGAGAUACGUAGGCAACCUAUUGUGGGUUUGGGGAUCUUAUUUCAAAAAAUUCAAAAAAGAUUUUCUUCACUCUUUAUUUAGAGUAGGUGUUUCAUAUACAUCUUCAAGAGAAAACUACAAAAAAAUUUUCCUUUAAUAGUUUCAAGUUUCAUUUUCAUAUGAAAUUCAAAAUUGAAAUUCCAAAAAGAUUUUUCUUUGGUAAUCAUAGGUUUCGUUUUGUAUAGGUAUUUUAAAAGUGAAGAAUGCAAAAAGAUUUUCGUCAAUUCUUUUGACAAAUUGUUAUUUUCUUUUCUUCUUAAAGUUUCAAGAAAAAGAAUGAAAAAAAGUUUAAUCGGCCAUUUUGGCAAGAUUUCACGAACUACGCACACCUGAUUCUCCUCUUUCGGGAGUGAGAUACGUAGGCGCCCUUCUUGGGUUCGAUGAUCUUUUAAAAAAAGGGAGAGAUUUUGAAAAACUGUUGAACUCUAACCAUUUGCUAUCUCUUGUCCAGUUAGUUUAAGGUGGUUAGUUUGUGGCAUUUUGGAUGGUCCUCCAUAUUGCUUAAAGUCACAGAGAAAGUUAUGGCCAACAAGGAUACCGAGUUAGUUGUCACUAAUCAGAUAGGGAGUUUGGGGAAUGAGAAUAUAGGAGAUAAUGAAGAGAUUCGGAAAUUAAGGCGGCAAAUAAUAGAAAUGCAUCGAGCUUGGGCUAAUGGGUUGCCGCCUCCUCCCGUUCCCACUGAUAAUCUGGAAUAUCUUUCUCGUUUGCCUCCCGUGCCCCAUGCCCGAUUUUUGUUGAUAUGCCACAACAUGCAUCAGGAUCGACUCCCGGGCAACAAUAUCCAACCACUUCCAAUGUUCAUUUCCUCACUCCCCAAUCCAAGACUACCACAUACUCGGCUCCAGAUGUUGUUCAUGCUUUUGUGGCGCCACCCCCACCUGAAGCUCCUACUUUCGAUGUUCAUCCACAAGUUGUGCCUCCCUACUCUACAAGAGAGCCUGCAUUGAAUAUUUUUAGUGAUCAGCAUUAUGCUCUCAAGCCUACAUUUAAGUCGACUGGUCCUUAUAAUUGCCAUCAACCGCCUGAAUUUCCUCCAAAUAAUGAGAAGUCUGUUAUGAUAGAAGAACAAGAGAAAAUAGCCAGAAAAUUGAGAAGUUUGAAACUGACUAUGAAAAACUUGCAAGGACUUGGGGGUACAAAGUGUCUCAUAUGAAGAUUUGUGCAUGUUUCCUGGUGUACAUCUUCCUCUUGGUUUUAAAAUGCCAAAGUUUGAGAAGUAUGAUGGACAUGGAGAUCCUGUAGCAUAUUUGAGACGCUAUUGCAACCAGCUAAAGGGUGCAGGAAGGAAGAAAGAAUUACUCAUGGCAUAUUUCGGUGAUAGUCUUUCAGGUCUAGCUUCAGAAUGGUUUGUUGACCAAGACAUUGGCAAAUGGAUUAGUUGGGAUGACCUAGCUAAUGGAUUUGUGCAACAAUUUCAAUACAAUGUGGAGUUGAUCCCUGACGAAAAAUCCCUAACUAGUAUAAAAAAGAAGAAUACUGAGAGUUUCAGGGAGUAUGCAAUCAGAUGACGCGAACAAGCUGCUAGAGUAAAACCGCUAAUGAAAGAAAUCAAAAUAGUGGAGGUGUUUAUUCAAGCGCAGGAUGAAAAAUAUUAUCAACACUUGUUACCUGCAUUAGGCAAGCCGUUCAUUGAGGUCCUUAAAAUAGGGGAGAUGAUAGAAGAGGGAAUUAAGACUGGUCACAUUGUGAGUUUUGCAACAUUGAAAGCGACUACUCAAGUAAUUCAAAAGGGUUCAAGAAGUGUUGGGAAGAAAAAGAAUGAGAAAGAUGCAUCUGCAAUUAUAGUUGGACAGCAAGAAAGGUCAAGAAGACCACGUCGUCGUCGAUCUCGGGCUCAAGCUCAAGUUUAUGCCCAGGCUCCACAUAAUCACUCCCAAAAUCCAUUAUAAUUUGUUCCUCCACAUCCAUAUCCAGUGUAUAAUGCACAACCAUAUGUUCAACCCUCAUCUUACCCACAAUAGCAUACCCCAACGCCCCAGAGUCAUCCUCUAACUCCACAAACAUACCAAAACCCUUCUUAAGCCAGAUUUUUUAUACAAGCCAAACAAUGAAAUGAGGCAGAAGUCGAGAGAUAGAUUCACACCAAUUGGAGAGUCAUAUGCCUGUUUAUUUUAGAGAUUGGUACAUAAGGAAAUGAUCACUCCUCUCCUUGGGCACACCCUUAAUCGACGUUCAAGAAAUUUUGAUCCUAACGCAUGAUGUGCGUAUCAUUCUGAGGCUCAGGGUCAUAGUAUUGAAGAUUGUCGAGAUUUGAAAAGAGAAAUUGAAAAGAUGAUUCAUGAUGGAUCAAUUAUGGUGUAGAACAUUGAUAAUGAGAAAAUCUCUAGUCAUGCUGAUAUGCAAAUCAGUGGCUAAGAUUGUCAAGCUGAGCAAUUGAGAAUUCACCCAUCUCCCUACUAGGAAGAAGUCUGGUAUUUUGUUUUGUCUUCUUUUCUGUUUUCCAAAUUAUUUCAGGGUUGUAGUUCGGGAUCUAUCUUGUUUUGUCCUUUUGUCGUUUAUGUUCAAACCCUUCUAUCUUUUAUUUUUAUUAAAUGGAGUAUCCCCUUUCCUUUAUGUUUUAAAUUUGUGUUGUUUGUUUGUUUUCUUUACAUAGUACAUUUUAUGUUGAUUCUUCGUGAUAUGACAUGCUAGCGAAAUUUUCAGCCAGAUCUUAAAAUCCACUUGAUCAGGAAGCAUUGGAUCAGAGAGUUAAAAUUAGGAAAAUAAAGUAUUUGAGAAAAUAGAUAGAGUGUUGGGGCAUUUGGUGAUAAGUUGAAGCCUUUUCUGAAAAUUAAGGCACUUAUUUUGAGAAUCACAAGAAUAACUUGGUCAUCAAUUGAAAGACAUGUCUCAAUUAGAUCAAAUAGUAGCCGCGUGAAUAGAAAGAAAAUCAGCUCACAAAAUCAUGAGUCAUUCAAUGUGAGGAAUGUGCAACAAAAGUGGAGUUGUAUGCCAUAUAAACGCAGAUGAAAUAGUGAUGCACAGAUUCAGUCAAGGUUAAUGCUGUGAAAAAAUGUCAAAAGAUCUUCAUCUUUCACUUUCAUAUUGCAUGAUAUAUACUUGCAUUUUCAAAGAUUGAUAUGACGAAGACAUUUCAUUCUGCUAUCCAAACAUCGUGUCAUCCUUUGUUUACCCCAUUUGAGAUUUAGUCUUAUUUUCUUUCAUACACCUCUUUUGGAAUCAAUAUAGUCAGCAAAGCUUUAAAGAAAAGUGUCAAGCAAACCAAUAGUCAGAAAAGUUCAAAAAAAAAAAGAAGAGAAGAAAGAAAAAAUGUGUCCAAAACAAAAAGAAAAAAAGAGUGUCAAAAAAAAUAGAGUCGGAAAAAUCCCCAAAAGAAAAGAGUCAAUAAAAGAAAAGAAAAAAGAAUCAGAAUCAAGCAAAAGAACAAGCUGCAAGAACUACGCAUGACUUAUUUCUCCUCUCUCGGGGGUGAGAUACGUAGGUUUCUCUACUCUGGGCUCGGUCCAACCAAAUAAACAAUUUAGUAUUUUCCAGUCAAAAGAAACUGGGGCAUGAGUUGAUCCUCAUUGUUUGAAUCGAUUCCAAAAGUUGUAAGUCCCACCCCACUUCAAGUGUCGUUUGGGUCUCAAAUCAUCUUUUCUUUCUAACCUUAUCCAAAAGCCAAGUUACAACCAAAGAAAGACCUUCAGAUCAAUUUUUGAGAAUGUUAAGGCUAAACAUGCAAUGGAUGUGAUGAUGCAUUUUGGGAACUACUUGUCUUCUUCGGCAUAAGGAAUCAGGAGAGAAAUGAAAAUGAGAGAGUCUUAUAGGUGAAAAUCCUCACGGGCACCGUAAGACUAUGGUAAGCUGAGAGAGAUAACAAUGAGAGAGUCUUAUCGGUGAAAACCCUCACGAGCAUGGUAAGACGACGGUGAGUUGAGACAAAUAAAAAUAAGAGAGCCUCAGUAGUGAGAACCCUUACAGAUACCAUAAGGCGAUGGUGAGUUGAGAGAAAAAUGAGAGAGGCUUGUUGGAAAAAAUCCUUCAAUGUGCCACUAACCGAAUGAGCUCUUCGAAUGCAAUGGGUUCAAGUGAUAAGUAACUUAGUUUCAGAGCCAUUAACUCAACAACAAUUGGUAGAAAGUUUGGAUGGAAAGAUCAGGCAGUUUGAUCCAAAAUGCAUGGCAUAAUCAUUACAGUUGACUGUCAUUUCUAGAUAAAUUUUUCAUUUCUUUAUUUCAAAUGGGGACAUUCAUUGUCUUUUCUUUCUUCUCUUUAUUUUUAUUUUUAUUUUAUUUUCUUUAGUCAGUUGUCCAAAUAAAAUUAUUAUCAUUUUUUUCUUGUCUUUGAGUCAAGUUCGUGUCAAAACAAGUGAGAAAAGAUCUCAAAACUGGCUACCGGCUUCUUCAAUUGCACAAAGCAAAACAAAAGGACCAGCACAUACAAAAGACAUGAUUGUGAGCUGGAAUAAGGCAUGCAAAAUUGUGUCAACAGACAAGUUUGGGAACUCAUGAAAAUACCAAGGUUCAAAGGGUUUAUCUGAUGAGCAUGGUGAAGCAGAGAUACCAUUUUUGUUUCAGAGUCACUCUUAAUAAACUGAGUUGGGUCAACGAUACAGCAAGUCAAUAACAUAUGCUAAUGGUUGGAAGCAAGGUUAAAUGUAAUGACGGCAACAGCGUUGCCGCGAAAGCCAAAACCACAAACCAGUCACCAUGUUUUAAACUCACAAGUUUUCUUUGUAUGUAAUAGGAAUACAUGUUACAUUCAGAUCAAGGAUUUCAGAGCCUAAACAUCAAAGGCCGUAAUUUCUCGCCUAAACAAAUGCAAGAGGAAAGGUUGCUGCACAGGUUUGGUAAUAAAAACCAUGGUAAAACACAUAAUUCAAGAUCUCUAGGAGACGCACUUCCUUGUUUUAGUAAUUCAAGCAGCUUUGGUGAGGAGACGUAGUUCAUUGUUUUGACGAUUCAAACAACAUUGGUAAGGAAACACACUUCCUUGAUUGGGUAAUUCGAAUUUUGCUUCUUAGGUAAUGCACUUCCUAGCUUAAGUCUUGAUUCCUAGAAGACGUACCUUUUAGUCGAGUCAUUCACCUUGACUCCUAGAAGACGUACCUUUUAGUCGAGUCAUCCCCUUUGAUUCCUAUAAGACGUACCUUUAAGUUGAGUCAUCCCCUUUGAUUCCUAUAAGACGUACCUUUUAGUCGAGUCAUGCUCUUUGAUUCCUAUAAGACUUAUCUUUUAGUCGAGUCAUUUUCCUUUGAUUCCUAGAAGACGUACCUUUUAGUCGAGUCAUUCCUUUUGAUUCCUAUAAGACGUACCUUUUAGUCGAGUCAUCUCAUUUGAUUCCUAUGAGACGUACCUUUUAGUCGAGUCAUCCUCCUUUGAUUCCUAGAAGACGUACUUUUUAGUUGAGUCAUUUCCCUUGACCCAUAGCAAGACGUACCUUUUAGUCGAGUCAUUCCCAUCGACCCAUAGAAGACAUACCUUUUAGUUGAGUCAUUCCCCUCGACCCCUAGAAGACGUACCUUUUAGUUGAGUCAUUCCCUCGACCCCUAGAAGACGUACCUUUUAGUUGAGUCAUUCCCCUCGACCCCUAGAAGACGUACCUUUUAGUUGAAUCAUUUCCUUUGAUUCCUAUAAGACGUACCUUUUAGUCAAGUCAUCUCCUUUGAUUCCUAUAAGACAUACUUUUCCAAUUAACUCAUAGAAGAUGUAUUUCUUUGUGUGAGAUAAUUUUAUUUUUAGUUUUGAUAUAAUUUCAGGAGCCCUCUUGAAGAACAGGGAGAAUACAUGGAAAGUCAAGCAACAAGGUGAAGCAGUUGAAAAGCAAGCAACAAGAGGAAGAAAAUUGAAAGUCAAAUUGAAAAAUAGCAAGAGAGGAGCCCACCUGAAGAACAAAGUGAUGAAAUUGAAAGCAUAGCAAUAAGUUGAUGAAAUAGCAAGUCAGAAACCCACCUGGAGAACAGAGUGUAGAAAUUGAAAGCAUAGCAACAAGUUGAUGAAAUAGCAAGUCAGGAACCCGCCUGGAGAAUAGGGUGAAGAAAUUGAAAGGCAAGCAACAAGUGACGAAAUUGCAAGUCAGGAGCCCGCCUGAAGAAUAGGGUGAUGAAGUAGCGAGUCAAAAGUCCAAUAGAAGCUGCAUAGAUAGGUUUUUUGUAAUUUCAUUUAUGUUUUUUUUUUACCUUGUAAUUUUUAUUUUUAAUGUAAUGACAGAGCCACGGACCGGAACCUCGAUGGAACCUCACUCGACUCUCCAAAUUGGUAUAGUCCAUUUCCUUCCAAUCUUUUGGGAUACCUGUCAAUUGAUUUCCUCACAACUUGGGUAGGUAGGAUGUACUAAGUCAAGACCCGGUUGCCCUUCUUCCUUCUGUUUCUUCCUUUAAAUAAUGGUCGGGACAAAAUUCUGUCUCGUUGUCUACUUCUUUGUCUGAAAACACUACGUGUUUACAUUCAAAGGGGGCAUAAUGUAGACACGUAAUUUUGUCCCUCCAAAAGAUUAAUUUUCACCUUUUUACUCUAUCCUAUUGUGUACCCUAAACCAUGUAAUUAUACCCCACAAAAAACAUACAAAAAAUAACACCCCUUCAUAAAUUUCCUAAUUUUUUUUUUGUUUUAACUAUCCUAACAACCUAUCCAAUUAAAAGACAACACCUUACCUCACUACCUACCUAUGCCACGUCACCCCACCAUCCUAACCCCUUAACAGAAUUGAAGAAAUACAUGGACAAAUAACAAACACAAUCAAAAGAGGGGUCCACGUGUAGAUUCCUUUUUUUCUUUUCCCUUUUCAAUUGAGAAGAUAUAUACACGGAGAGGGCACCUUCGAGGAAUUUGCCAUAUAUACUCACAUAUUCACUGAAAUCCUCCAUGGUGAUACACAGGAGAAUAUAGCAGAGUACACACUCCUCACAACCUCACAACAACACACACCAAAAAGAGACCAUCCAUCAAUACCCACUACAAUUUAUUCACAGACCCCCACACCCACUCUCAAUUAACAAAUGCAAAACAUACACACAAAAAAGACACACACACGCACAUCGAGAUAGAAAAAUAGAGUGAGCGAGGGUGACCGAAGAUCGGAGAGAGAGGAAAAAAGGGGUGAAGAGCUGAAAUCAAUCGAGAGAGAGAGAAAAGACGUUGGUUUUGACAAUUUUUGAUGAGUUCCUCACCGGAAAUCGAUCAGGAUCAUCACUGAGAAAGCUCCGACGGUCACUGUAGCUACCAUUCAUUUACCGAAAAAUAUUGAAAACAGACAGGGAGGUCCAAUUCUGUCCACCAUGGUCAAAACUCAACCGGACUAACACCAAAGCCCAUCAGAAAAAUCAAAAAACAGAUCCUCCCAUUCUAGUUCUUCGGUGAAGCAGUAGCGGGGUACAAAAUUCAGUGCGGGUUCGUAUUUACUUCGUCAUUUUUGGUUCUUCUAGGAGAAAACCAGAGCAAAAACGGAUAUAUCGAGUUGGUUUUGUUGGUAUUGAGGUUCGGUUCGAAGAUUCCGAACACGGCUCCAUCUUUUAAUCGCGUAAUUUGGCAUAAUAAAAGCAUUUGGAAGGUCCAAUUCUAUCUUCUCUCCUUUUAAGUUUUACUCAAUCGUGAAUAUUCGUGUGUUUGACAUGUUUGAAUCUUCAUUACAUGUUGUUUGAUGUCAGAUUUGAAUGUGAAAACUUGGUUGGUCAAUUGCGUAUUGAAUUUGAUUAAUUUUAAUGGUGUGAGUGAUAAAAGGAAAUUGGGGGUGGAAAUUGAAAAUUGACAAAAAGGGUAGAUUCAGAUUAAUUUUGAUCUAUGGUUGAUAUGAAACUUGAUAGAAUUAUCAUAUGUUGAAAUGGAUAGGCCAAUGUAGGUUCGGGUAGGCAAAUUUAGGAUUAAGAUUUUGAUUGAUUGUUUGAAUGUGGAAUGUGUUGAAUGUUUUUUAGUUUAUCGCAUCUAAUUCAAAAUGUAUUCAUUUGGCCGGGGAAUGCCCCGAAGUAUUUUUAUAUAUUUAUUAACCGGGGAAUGCCUCGACGUACUAUGUUGGCAAAGGCGGAUCGAGAACAAGGCCCGAGGCGUCGGGUAACGGGAGCGUAGUUAGUAGUAGUACAAGUUAGAUAGGAUUUAUCUUAGCAUUUUUUUAUUUUGGAUUGUAUAAAUUGGACUGGAUACUAUAUUUUAAUUCGUUUUGUUUUUGUCUGUUUGUUUGUUUGUUUUACGUGUUUGUGUGGUUUGUACAUUCAUAGUGUCAAAAUUAGUCGAUACGUUCCACCAAGCAACCGUGGGCGAACCACGGGAUCGAGAGGUGCCUAACACCUUCCCCUCGGUCAACAGAAUUCCUUAGCCGGAAUCUCUGUUUGCAAACCGGUUUAAAGAGUCAAAUGGUUUCACAAAGGAUUUUCCAAUGGUGACUUGGCACACCAGAUUAUGCCAAGUGGCGACUCUGAUUUUGAAUGUAAAAAUAAUCCUUUUUCGGAAACCAAUCUUCAUUUUGUCACUUUAAUAAAAACCCUUUCAAAACCAUGAAAUAUAAUCUUUUUGGUGGUAAAAAGGGGUGCGACACUUAUAAUCUCCGUCUUCGUGUUCCUCUUCUUUAUAUAUGAAAUAAGGGUGUCAAACAGGCCGGUUUUAACCGACCCAAACCGGCCCACAUAAUUAAACCGGCCCAGUUUGAACUAGCCCGGUAAGCCCAAGGGCUUUAGGGGUCCGGGUCCCGGUCCGAUUGGGUUUUUGAUUUGGGCCCGAUUAACCCGGCCCGAACCCAACCCAGUUUGGGCCCGACCCGAUUAAGUUUUUUUUUUUUUUUUUUGAAAAUUCAGAAUUUCACAAACUGAAAUUAAAAACUUAGUUUUAAUAUAUUAUUAAUUUACUGGUAAAGCAUUCCCCCUAUCUCUGCUAGAAGAAUCUCACGAUCUAAACUCAUUUCUGCCUUCGUUGGACUCUAAACAUGGGUUUUUCUAGCUUAAAGAUCAACCCAAUUCAUGCGAGCUCUGUUUUAGCUAGUUUCUUUGCUCUAGUAUUGUUAAUUUAUUAUAUUAAGUAGCAUAUAUUUUAUACUUUUAUUUAAAGUAGUGUAUAUAUUGAAUGGUAUAUAUAUGUGUGUGUGUAUAUCUUCUAAAUCUAAAGUUUUAUAUAUUUAAUGUACACAUGAGUAUAUAUUUUAUAAAUUAGUAUAUAACUAUAUAUAUAUAUAUAUAGUUAUAUACUAAUUUAUAAAACAUAUACACUUGUAUACGUUAAAUAUAUACGUCUAGAGAAGAUAUAUGCACAUCUAUACACAGCAUUCAAUAUAUAUGUACUACUUUAAAUAAAAUAUAUACUACAAUAUACAUAUAUAUAUACUACAAUAUGUAUAUAUAUGUAUAGUUAUAUACUAAUUUAUAAAACAUAUACACUUGUAUACGUUAAAUAUAUACGUCUAGAGAAGAUAUAUGCACAUCUAUACACAGCAUUCAAUAUAUAUGUACUACUUUAAAUAAAAUAUAUACUACAAUAUACAUAUAUAUAUACUACAAUAUGUAUAUAUAUGUAUAGUUAUAUACUAAUUUAUAAAACAUAUACACUUGUAUACGUUAAAUAUAUACGUCUAGAGAAGAUAUAUGCACAUCUAUACACAGCAUUCAAUAUAUAUGUACUACUUUAAAUAAAAUAUAUACUACAAUAUACAUAUAUAUAUACUACAAUAUGUAUAUAUAUGUAUAGUUAUAUACUAAUUUAUAAAACAUAUACACUUGUAUACGUUAAAUAUAUACGUCUAGAGAAGAUAUAUGCACAUCUAUACACAGCAUUCAAUAUAUAUGUACUACUUUAAAUAAAAUAUAUACUACAAUAUACAUAUAUAUAUACUACAAUAUGUAUAUAUAUGUAUAUUGUAGUAUAUAUUUUAUUUAAAGUAGUACAUAUAUAUUGAAUGGUGUGUGUAUAUAUGUGUAUAUAUCUUCUACAGAUGUAUAUAUUUAAUGUAUACAAGUGUAUAUGUUGUACAAAUUAGUAUAUAACUAUACAUAUAUAUACAUAUUGUAGUAUAUAUAUGUAUAUUGUAGUAUAUAUUUUAUUUAAAGUAGUACAUAUAUAUUGAAUGCUGUGUAUAGAUGUGCAUAUAUCUUCUCUAGACGUAUAUAUUUAACGUAUACAAGUGUAUAUGUUUUAUAAAUUAGUAUAUAACUAUAUAUAUAUAUACAUACAUAGUAUAUACAUAUAUAUUGUAGCAUAUAUUUUAUUUAAAGUAGUACCUAUAUAUUGAUUUAAAAUGAUUUAAAAUGAAUUUCUAGUUUAAAUUAAAAACUUACUUUUAAUAUAUUAUUAUUAAUGAAGAAUAUAAAAUAUGUUCAAAAAAUAAAAUAUAGCAAAUACAUAAAUACUAGCCUUCUCUUCUUCCAUGUUUAACUUUUAGUAUAUAAUUAUUAGCAUUUUAUUUUCUUCUAUAGUGAAAAUUUCCACCCCUUUUCAUAUGGGAUCAAUUUAUUACUUACACUAUGCAAAUGGUAGAAUCAAAUUUAUCCAUCUACUAUACUAUAUGAAAUACCUUAAUUUUAUCCUUGAUUAUAUUUUGGGAUUGUUUUAUCAAAUUGUCUCGUAUAUAAUUUUGAAUAAGUGUUAACAUAGAUAUGAGAUUCAAUGUUACGUUACUUCAAGAAAAGUAUUCAAAUUUAUCAAUCUACUUUUGAUUACGGUCAAAUUUACUAUAUUAUUUGUACAUUGGGUUAGAGUUUCGUCAGCAUCAAGGAUAAUACGAGACAAUAUGCUAAUCACAAGAAUAUGAAUAAUUUUAUAUAGAAGAACGGUAAAACUAAAAUAUUUUGUAUAGUGAAAAAAAAAAUCGAACCAUUUAAAAUUGCACUUAGUUAAGUUUGUCAUAUGAAAAUAUUAAUUAUAUUACUUAAAAUUAUAAUUAAACUCAUGAUAAUCCAAAGCCGUUAUAACCUCUGCCCUUCUUGUGAGCACUGGAUAAAUCCUUCACUGUGUAAUACAUUUCACUAGACACUAGGUGAUAAUUAUACUUUUAUAAGAUCAAAAUGAUGUGAUGUGUUCAACAAUUAAAUAUUUUUUAAUAAUCCCCACGCAUCGCGCAGGUAUAUAUACUAGUUAUAAUUAAAAAACUUACCCACUGGAAGUACAGGAUCAGCAAUAGCCUCUGAAAAUAUUAUCAGAAGAACCAAAGAAAAAAUAACCAAAACAUUAGCCUUGAACGCCAUUUUGGAUGAAUAAAUUUGAAAAAAAAAAAACGUUGUUGG
RNAcentral lists this long non-coding RNA (24751 nucleotides) under Capsicum annuum. Its description in RNAcentral is "long non-coding RNA (CANN_LNC005754)". The record is from RNAcentral. Lineage: Eukaryota; Viridiplantae; Streptophyta; Magnoliopsida; Solanales; Solanaceae.